This is a long non-coding RNA of Pseudopipra pipra, 1888 nucleotides long. RefSeq lists it as uncharacterized. The transcript has 2 exons. The record is from RefSeq and is a predicted model, not a curated record. Lineage: Eukaryota; Metazoa; Chordata; Aves; Passeriformes; Pipridae.
GUGUCUGGGGGUGAAUAGGUGUUCUCAGGGGUGAAGGGGGGUGUGUGGGGUGCCUGGGGUUGGCACAGGGUUGAAUAAGGGCUCUCAAGGGUGGCACGGAGGGUGGUCAAGCACUGGCCCAGGCUGCCCAGGGCAGUGGGGGAGUCACCAUCACUGGCAACAUUCAAAGAAUGAGUAGGCAUCAGAGCAGCAGCAAGGGACAGCCCUGCCUAGCCAUGGGAAAAGCCACAUGGGAUGCUCCACACAAUCCAAAGUCAGGGUGGUCACACAGACCCCGGCUCCGGUCUGUGUCUCCACUUACACUGAGGAAGCACCUUCCUCAGAUUCGUUUUACCCAGUGAAAUGUGACCAUUCCCAGGUGCCACAUCAGCCCUGUCAGCAGCAGGAGAGCACACACACAGCCCAGCCACCACCCUCAGCAUCAGUCCCCAGGCACAGAGGGUUUCUUUCAGGCUCUUUUUUCAGUUGCACAUUUGGGCAUUGCUUUAGUGUGGUUUUAAGGCCAGAGUGUUGGAUUCAGGAAGCACUUUGCAUUUCAGAUCCUGGCAUUUUAAUAUUAAAGACGUGAUACUCAGCUCUGGCACCCACAGCUGGGGCUGCACAGCUCCUCCCAGGGCACAGAGCACAGACUUUGCUACCAACUCCCUAUUCCCUGGGUGACCUGCAGGAGAAACACAUAAAUCCUCUGAUGAGCAGGGCCAGGGCAGAGGAAGAGUCUCAGCUUCCUGAAGAGGAGAUUUUCCCUUCAGAUUAAGCUGCCUGUCACCUCACCUCCCACUGCAGCUGAGGAAGCAAAGCCCUGAGCCCACCCAGGGUCAUUUUGAAGAGCCAAACCCCACAAAAUGGGGAGGGAAAACUGCCCCCUCAUCUCACACUGAGCAAAGCCUUUGAGAUGCUUCAAGCCCUGUCCACCAACACUGCAGGGACGGAGCAGUGUCCAGCAGCUUGUUGUGAACCCACAGCACAGAACCUUUGGACUCGAGAGCCAAAUCAACUCCAUCCUCAGCUUCUGCUCACAGACCACAGCUGGAGGGCUUGGAGAGAGGAAGGACAACAGGCACUGAAUGCAAUGGAAACCUGAAAUAUGGGGCCUCAGAAUUAAAGGGCUCAGGUCUCUGGGCUCCAGGCUGGUGGAUGGCACCAGGGGAGCUGCAGCAGAAGUGAAUCGUUCCUACUGCACCAUCUGCCUCUGACAGCUUUCCUUCCAAAGGACCAGCAUUUACUCAGCAUCCAGACUCCAAUGCCUCCAGGGGCAAGUGAAGCAACACACAGCAAGGACAGUGACCCACCUUCCCCUGGCUGAAUUCCUUCUCUGCCAAAAGCAUCUCCUCUUCUAGAGGUGAUGGUGGCUGCAGAAGGGUGAAACCCUUCUCAGAGCUAUUUUAGCUACUCCAAGUCAAGCCUAGAAGUUUCAGGACAAGGAUUUGGUGGCAAGAUGCUGCUCUCCAGCAGCUUUAUGUGCUUAGAAGACAGUUCCCACCCAGAAAACAUGCCCAGGAGCUCCAACACAUUUCUGCAAGGCCUUCAGAUGCUACUGGAAAAAAACAGGCCAUGUCAUUUGCAGCAGCACCUUAAAAGUGGGGAGAAAAUAAUCAAAGGCAAGAGGUACAAAGCCAGAAGUGCAAUUUAUUGACAAGUUUCAGAAGUAAAAAGACUCAGCAUCUCUGCUCCUCAUGAACUGGAUGUCUGAGCUCUUUCAAAGCACCUUCACCCACCAGCUCAGAGCGGUGUCAUGCUUUCAUCUUCAGAAGUUGAAGUCUUGCUUCUCCACUGAGAAAUCAUACAGCCCAUCUUGGCCAGUCUGAGGCUCCAGGUCUGAGUUUUCCUGUGAGGAAAGUGAUAUCAAUCAGUUAUAGGGUCUGCAUCUGAAUAAACCUAAGUUUUUUUU